AGAAUCAACGCUGGCGGCGUGCCUAACACAUGCAAGUCGCACGAGAAAGUGGAGCAAUCCAUGAGUAAAGUGGCGCACGGGUGAGUAACACGUGACUAACCUACCCUUGAGUGGGGAAUAACUUCGGGAAACCGAGGCUAAUACCGCAUAACACCUACGGGUCAAAGGAGCAAUUCGCUUAAGGAGGGGGUCGCGGCAGAUUAGUUAGUUGGCAGGGUAAUGGCCUACCAAGACGGUGAUCUGUA
RNAcentral lists this ribosomal RNA (245 nucleotides) under uncultured bacterium. RNAcentral's name for it is "partial small subunit ribosomal RNA". It matches the Rfam family "Bacterial small subunit ribosomal RNA", at positions 26 to 285 of the family's 1533-position model. The record is from RNAcentral.